RNAcentral lists this non-coding RNA (21 nucleotides) under Caenorhabditis elegans. Lineage: Eukaryota; Metazoa; Nematoda; Chromadorea; Rhabditida; Rhabditidae. The record is from RNAcentral.
UUCGAGUUUUUAUUUUUUUCG